RNAcentral lists this ribosomal RNA (200 nucleotides) under uncultured eukaryote. Its description in RNAcentral is "partial 18S ribosomal RNA". It matches the Rfam family "Eukaryotic small subunit ribosomal RNA", at positions 588 to 802 of the family's 1831-position model. The record is from RNAcentral.
GCUCCAAUAGCGUAUAUUAAUGUUGUUGCAGUUAAAAAGCUCGUAGUUGAAUUUCUGGCUAGAUUAUUAGCUGGCUUCGGUCGUUAAUAAGCUAGUCAUCCGUUAGAGAACUAGGCCGUCCUUAAUUGGUCACCUAGCAGAUCUAACAUUUUUACUUUGAAAAAAUUAGAGUGUUCAAGGCAGGCAAUCGUCAUGAAUAC